CGCGUAGGCGGGAUGGCAAGUCAGUCGUGAAAUCUCUCGGCCCAACCGAGAAACGUCGGCUGAUACUGCCGUUCUUGAGGGAUGCAGAGGAGACUGGAAUUCCCGGUGUAGCGGUGAAAUGUGUAGAGAUCGGGAGGAACACCGGUGGCGAAGGUGGGUCUCUGGGCAUCUCCUAACGCUGGGCGCGAAAGCGUGGGGAGCAAACG
Molecule: ribosomal RNA, 206 nt
Filed under: uncultured bacterium
Lineage: Bacteria
Description: partial 16S ribosomal RNA
Rfam family: Bacterial small subunit ribosomal RNA
Source: RNAcentral